RNAcentral lists this ribosomal RNA (308 nucleotides) under uncultured bacterium. Its description in RNAcentral is "bacterial SSU rRNA". It matches the Rfam family "Bacterial small subunit ribosomal RNA", at positions 30 to 339 of the family's 1533-position model. The record is from RNAcentral.
AUUGAACGCUGGCGGCAUGCUUUAUACAUGCAAGUCGUGCGGCAGCGCGGGGGCAACUCUGGCGGCGAGCGGCGAACGGGUGAGUAAUACAUAGGAACGUAUCCUGAAAUGGGGGAUAGCUCGGCGAAAGCCGGAUUAAUACCGCAUACGCUCCACGGAGGAAAGCAGGGGAUCGCAAGACCUUGCGUUUCUGGAGCGGCCUAUGUCUGAUUAGCAGUUGGCGGGGUAAUAGCCCACCAAGGCGACGAUCAGUAGCUGGUCUGAGAGGAUGAUCAGCCACACUGGGACUGAGACACGGCCCAGACUCC